This 497-nucleotide ribosomal RNA is filed under the name uncultured bacterium. Its description in RNAcentral is "partial 16S ribosomal RNA". It matches the Rfam family "Bacterial small subunit ribosomal RNA", at positions 28 to 507 of the family's 1533-position model. The record is from RNAcentral.
GACGAACGCUGGCGGCGUGCCUAAUACAUGCAAGUUGAGCGCUGAAGGUUGGUACUUGUACCAACUGGAUGAGCAGCGAACGGGUGAGUAACGCGUGGGGAAUCUGCCUUUGAGCGGGGGACAACAUUUGGAAACGAAUGCUAAUACCGCAUAAAAACUUUAAACACAAGUUUUAAGUUUGAAAGAUGCAAUUGCAUCACUCAAAGAUGAUCCCGCGUUGUAUUAGCUAGUUGGUGAGGUAAAGGCUCACCAAGGCGAUGAUACAUAGCCGACCUGAGAGGGUGAUCGGCCACAUUGGGACUGAGACACGGCCCAAACUCCUACGGGAGGCAGCAGUAGGGAAUCUUCCGCAAUGGACGAAAGUCUGACCGAGCAACGCCGCGUGAGUGAAGAAGGUUUUCGGAUCGUAAAACUCUGUUGGUAGAGAAGAACGUUGGUGAGAGUGGAAAGCUCAUCAAGUGACGGUAACUACCCAGAAAGGGACGGCUAACUACGUG